UAAACGGCGGCCGUAACUAUAACGGUCCUAAGGUAGCGAAAUUCCUUGUCGGGUAAGUUCCGACCCGCACGAAAGGCGUAACGAUUUGGGCACUGUCUCAACGAGAGACUCGGUGAAAUCAUAGUACCUGUGAAGAUGCAGGUUACCCGCGACAGGACGGAAAGACCCCGUGGAGCUUUACUGUAGCCUGAUAUUGAAAUUCGGCACAGCUUGUACAGGAUAGGUAGGAGCCUUUGAAACGUGAGCGCUAGCUUACGUGGAGGCGCUGGUGGGAUACUACCCUAGCUGUGUUGGCUUUCUAACCCGCACCACUUA
RNAcentral lists this ribosomal RNA (315 nucleotides) under Staphylococcus aureus. RNAcentral describes it as "partial 23S ribosomal RNA". It matches the Rfam family "Bacterial large subunit ribosomal RNA", at positions 1924 to 2238 of the family's 2925-position model. Lineage: Bacteria; Bacillati; Bacillota; Bacilli; Caryophanales; Staphylococcaceae. The record is from RNAcentral.